UCAUUCUUUUACAAAGAAACUGUCCGGUUUGGCCAAUGUACAUAGCAGAGGGGCAUUGCUGACACAUGAUGGCAUAUAUCAUAUUAGUAGAUGUUCAGGUGAAUGAGCCCCGGAUGGUGUGUCUCAUGUGGUUGGGUUCUCUGAUGGUGGGUC
Long non-coding RNA from Dermochelys coriacea (leatherback sea turtle), 153 nucleotides. RefSeq lists it as uncharacterized. The record is from RefSeq and is a predicted model, not a curated record. The transcript has 3 exons. NCBI's taxonomy places the organism in Eukaryota, Metazoa, Chordata, Testudines, Dermochelyidae.